GGUCAGAUGGCCGAGCGGUCUAAGGCGGCAGUUUUAGGCACUGUUCUUUCGAGGCGUGGGUUCGAAUCCCACUCUGAUCA
Molecule: transfer RNA, 80 nt
Filed under: Coemansia aciculifera
Lineage: Eukaryota; Fungi; Kickxellomycota; Kickxellomycetes; Kickxellales; Kickxellaceae
Description: tRNA-Leu
Rfam family: tRNA
About the family: Transfer RNA (tRNA) molecules are approximately 80 nucleotides in length.
Source: RNAcentral